RNAcentral lists this long non-coding RNA (1168 nucleotides) under Heterocephalus glaber (naked mole-rat). Its description in RNAcentral is "lncRNA (ENSHGLG00000047100.1)". Lineage: Eukaryota; Metazoa; Chordata; Mammalia; Rodentia; Bathyergidae. The record is from RNAcentral.
UUUAAAGUUAAAUAGGAAUUUUUAAAGAUUAAAUUAUUUGUGUAGCUUGUUAGGAGGUUCCAGCUAGUAACAAUAAACGUAGGUUACAUGUCCAUGAAAAUUUUAAAAUGGUACAGUGUUAAAGUCUUAUAGUGUUAUUUUUUCUGACUUUUGCCAGUUCAUUUACUGACAGAUACUAUUGCUUAUACUGAAGUAAGAUAGUUGAGUAUUUUUGAAUACUUACUAAGUGUUAAUACUCUAUAAAAUUUUUUAAAUAUCUUCUCAGAUGUGACUGUGGAGCAAAGAUAAUUGAUUUCAUUUCAGUAUAUAGUUGCAUUUUGAACUUUAGCUUGGUGGAAUUGAUUGUAUGAGAAAAUUUGUGGUUAAAAUUAGUAAGAGAUAAAACCCUCAGCAGGUUAUUCUUGCCAAGUUAAUGUUUGUAGUGAUGGGGUAAAGGGGUUUAUGUACCAGAAGAAGUUAAUAAGGGUCUGGGAAAAAGGAAGAAGGCUGCAGUGCUGUGACUAGAAUAUCAAAGUUCUAUCUUGCAUCAGUAUUUUCAUUUUACUUCAUCCUUUCGCAUUUGCCCUUGUUAUGAUAUCAGGCUAUUGGUACCUUGAUGCAAAACAUAUUAUAACAAUCUUGAGCACUAGAAAUUGAGGUGGGGGGUGUUCUGUGGUAAGAGUGCUUGCAUACCAUCCAUGAGGUCCUGGUUGGGAACAUAUAAUUUCACUAUUAUAUUUGGUUUAAAGAAUCCACAUUAGUAUUACAUUUUAGUGACAGUAAAUUAUCCCACAAUUUUAAGUUCUCUAAGGUGAAACAAAAAACCAUGGAAUGAGUUCCCCCCAAAAGAAGUGUGUGUGUGUGUGUGUGUGUGUGUCUACAUGUACACACAUACAUGUAUUCAUACUUUGCUUUCAAUGUAAGUACCAUGUGCUUUGGUCAUUGAAUUUAGUCUCUUUUCAGUGUUAGAAAUUUAUUUUAUAAAACUGUGCUGAGACUUUUGGAGAAAAAAUGAAACUGCUGUGAUAAAAACUAAGUGUUUCAAAACUAGACAUUUGGUCAUAUUUUCUUUGGAAAUUGCAAUAAUUUAUAUAUUUGUAUCUUGCUUUGGAACUGUAACAAUAUAUGCUUGUCUACUAUUUUUAAUUUUACAACAAUAAAAUAAAUAUUUUGUUAUUUGCUAGCUUCA